UUCUUUGCAUUAUGUCGUAAGCCUUGCUCAAAGCACAUAAAUAGUCAGAUUGAGAGCUGUAGCACCACAGACACCCUUUGAAUCAGAAAUGUUUGGCUAUUGCAAGGAAAGGAGGAUGCUCCCAGAGAUAAGGUCUGUUUUUCAGCGACAGCUUUGUUUUUCAGACAGGACUAUCUGAAUGCCAACCAUCUGGAAGUCCCAGAGGCAUGACCAGAGCCCAGGAGUAGUCAUGCAGUUCUGUAUGUCAUGGACGCAGUGCCAUUAAUAGGAUCUCCUUUUCACAGACAGAUCUUUGAAUAUGCAGAAUUCCGUUAGAUCAAACCAUUGCUUCAGGCGUCAGAAGGAAAAUACUGCACGCACAAGAAGUUUCAGGAACACUGUACAGAAAUGGGACUGAUCCCACCUUGACCCAUCUGGUAUGUGUCAGAAACCUUUUUUUGCUUUUAUCCGAGGACAGCAAAGUGUUGCUGCGCUC
Long non-coding RNA from Dromaius novaehollandiae (emu), 475 nucleotides. RefSeq lists it as uncharacterized. Lineage: Eukaryota; Metazoa; Chordata; Aves; Casuariiformes; Dromaiidae. The transcript has 3 exons. The record is from RefSeq and is a predicted model, not a curated record.